AGCGUUAAUCGGAAUUACUGGGCGUAAAGCGCACGCAGGCGGUUUGUUAAGUCAGAUGUGAAACCCCCGCGCUUAACGUGGGAACUGCAUUUGAAACUGGCAAGCUAGAGUCUUGUAGAGGGGGGUAGAAUUCCAGGUGCAGCGGUGAAAUGCGUAGAGAUCUGGAGGAGUACCGGUGGCGAAGGCGGCCCCCUGGACAAAGACUGACGCUCAGGUGCGAAAGCGUGGGGAGCAAACAGGAUUAGAUACCCUGGUAGUCCACGCUGUAAACGAUGUCGACUUGGAGGUUGUGCCCUUGAGGCGUGGCUUCCGGAGCUAACGCGUUAAGUCGACCGCCUGGGGAGUACGGCCGCAAGGUUAAAACUCAAAUGAAUUGACGGGGGCCCGCACAAGCGGUGGAGCAUGUGGUUUAAUUCGAUGCAACGCGAAGAACCUUACCUACUCUUGACAUCCACGGAAUUCGCCAGAGAUGGCUUAGUGCCUUCGGGAACCGUGAGACAGGUGCUGCAUGGCUGUCGUCAGCUCGUGUUGUGAAAUGUUGGGUUAAGUCCCGCAACGAGCGCAACCCUUAUCCUUUGUUGCCAGCACGUAAUGGUGGGAACUCAAAGGAGACUGCCGGUGAUAAACCGGAGGAAGGUGGGGAUGACGUCAAGUCAUCAUGGCCCUUACGAGUAGGGCUACACACGUGCUACAAUGGCAUAUACAAAGAGAAGCGAACUCGCGAGAGCAAGCGGACCUCAUAAAGUAUGUCGUAGUCCGGAUUGGAGUCUGCAACUCGACUCCAUGAAGUCGGAAUCGCUAGUAAUCGUAGAUCAGAAUGCUACGGUGAAUACGUUCCCGGGCCUUGUACACACCGCCCGUCAUACCAUGGGAGUGGGUUGCAAAAGAAGUAGGUAGCUUAACCCUCGGGAGGGCGCUUACCACUUUGCGAUUCAUGACUGGGGUGAAGUC
RNAcentral lists this ribosomal RNA (951 nucleotides) under uncultured bacterium. Its description in RNAcentral is "bacterial SSU rRNA". It matches the Rfam family "Bacterial small subunit ribosomal RNA", at positions 537 to 1487 of the family's 1533-position model. The record is from RNAcentral.